GCACCUGUCAUCGGGUAAUAUUCUUGUGAUUAGUUUUGGCUGUGCUGAUGAAACGAUGUUAAAAGAAUGUCAGAACAACCUGUCCUGGGACUCCUACAGGCAGUUUCAAGCUAAGGAAGUCUACAUGAAUGAGCUUGAAGAGGUGGAACUUGUCCUGUGGAGAGAUAUCCCAUAGAUUUAGAUGCCACUGAAUUCCAUUGCAGCUCAUGGGUCAGCCUUCAUUCAGACAGCAAGAGAAGCAAGCUGGAAUUCAUUGCCCAGCAAACAGUGAUGAUUUCUGCUCUCGGUUGAAAAAGUCUCUUUUUGCUGUGGAGGUCCCCAGGUGUUAUUGCCAGAAAAGCGAGUCCCCAGAGCUCAGAUUUCCCCUCCUCUACCUCAGGGGGUCACUUCACCUUUCUGCAGCUCAGCUCUCCAGGCUGUGGGAGAGGUUCCAGCUCCACAGGGACAGUGGGGACUGGCUGAUAUGGAAAUGUGCUGAGCCUGGAAACACAUGGUUAUUAUUCACUAAUAAAAGGGAAUUAAAAUCUCCCUGGUGAUAAAAGUUGUAGAAUGCAGUUAUAUUAUUAUGAGCAAGUAAG
This 578-nucleotide long non-coding RNA is filed under the name Cyanistes caeruleus (blue tit). Its description in RNAcentral is "lncRNA (ENSCCEG00000010697.1)". Lineage: Eukaryota; Metazoa; Chordata; Aves; Passeriformes; Paridae. The record is from RNAcentral.